Molecule: ribosomal RNA, 484 nt
Filed under: uncultured bacterium
Lineage: Bacteria
Description: partial 16S ribosomal RNA
Rfam family: Bacterial small subunit ribosomal RNA
Source: RNAcentral
AUUGAACGCUGGCGGCAGGCCUAACACAUGCAAGUCGAGCGGAUGAAGGGAGCUUGCUCCUGGAUUCAGCGGCGGACGGGUGAGUAAUGCCUAUGAAUCUGCCUGGUAGUGGGGGAUAACGUCCGGAAACGAGCGCUAAUACCGCCUACGUCCUGAGGGAGAAAUUGGGGGAUCUUCGGACCUCACGCUCUCAGAUGAGCCUAGGUCGGAUUAGCUAGUUGGUGGGGUAAAGGCCUACCAAGGCGACGAUCCGUAACUGGUCUGAGAGGAUGAUCAGUCACACUGGAACUGAGACACGGUCCAGACUCCUACGGGAGGGAGCAGUGGGGAAUAUUGGACAAUGGGCGAAAGCCUGAUCCAGCCAUGCCGCGUGUGUGAAGAAGGUCUUCGGAGUGUAAAGCACUUUAAGUUGGGAGGAAGGGCAGUAAGUUAAUACCUUGCUGUUUUGACGUUACCAACAGAAUAAGCACCGGCUAACUUCGUG